Molecule: ribosomal RNA, 254 nt
Filed under: uncultured bacterium
Lineage: Bacteria
Description: partial 16S ribosomal RNA
Rfam family: Bacterial small subunit ribosomal RNA
Source: RNAcentral
UACGUAGGGACCAAGCGUUGUUCGGAUUUACUGGGCGUAAAGAGCGCGUAGGCGGCAAUUCAAGUCAUCUGUGAAAUCUCCGGGCUUAACUCGGAACGGUCAGAUGAUACUGCUUUGCUAGAGUGCGGAAGGGGCAAUCGGAAUUCUUGGUGUAGCGGUGAAAUGCGUAGAUAUCAAGAGGAACACCUGAGGUGAAGACGGGUUGCUGGGCCGACACUGACGCUGAGUGCGCGAAAGCCAGGGGAGCAAACGGG